AGUGAACGCUGGCGGUAGGCCUAACACAUGCAAGUCGAACGGCAGCACAGUAAGAGCUUGCUCUUACGGGUGGCGAGUGGCGGACGGGUGAGGAAUACAUCGGAAUCUACUUUUUCGUGGGGGAAAACGUAGGGAAACUUACGCUAAUACCGCAUACGACCUACGGGUGAAAGCAGGGGAUCUUCGGACCUUGCGAGAGUGAAUGAGCCGAUGUCGGAUUAGCGUGUUGGCGGGGUAAAGGCCCACCAAGGCGACGAUCCGUAGCUGGUCUGAGAGGAUGAUCAGCCACACUGGAACUGAGACACGGUCCAGACUCCUACGGGAGGCAGCAGUGGGGAAUAUUGGACAAUGGGCGCAAGCCUGAUCCAGCCAUACCGCGUGGGUGAAGAAGGCCUUCGGGUUGUAAAGUCCUUUUGUUGGGAAAGAAAAGCAGCAGGUUAAUACCCCGCUGUUCUGACGUUACCCAAAGAAUAAGCACCGGCUAACUUCGUG
This 492-nucleotide ribosomal RNA is filed under the name uncultured bacterium. RNAcentral's name for it is "partial 16S ribosomal RNA". It matches the Rfam family "Bacterial small subunit ribosomal RNA", at positions 29 to 507 of the family's 1533-position model. The record is from RNAcentral.